AGCAUGUCCAUAUUGCCCUUAUCCUACUCCUCCCCCUCCGUGUCCCCCAACAUUUCCACCAAAACACCCUCCACAUGUAAAGCCACCUUUCCACCCCAAACCACCGCAUCACAAGCCACCCCAUGUCAAACCACCGCACAAGCCCCCGUAUGUUCCUAAACCACCUUAUUCCCCAAGCCCUAAACCGCCUUACGUGCCAAAACCACCUCAUACUCCAGUCCCUAGGCCACCAUAUUUCCCCAAACCACCUUACACACCAAGGCCUAAGCCACCAUAUGCGCCAAAACCACCUUAUACGCCAACCCCUAAGCCACCAUAUUUCCCCAAACCACCUUACACACCAAGGCCGAAGCCACCAUAUGUGCCAAAACCACCUUAUACGCCAGCCCCUAAGCCACCAUAUUUUCCCAAACCACCUUACACACCAAGGCCUAAGCCACCAUAUGCACCAAAACCACCUUAUACGCCAACACCUAAGCCACCAUAUUUCCCCAAACCACCUUACACACCAAGGCCUAAGCCACCGUACGUGCCAAAACCACCGUACACACCAAGGCCUAAGCCACCGUACGUGCCAAAACCACCAUACACACCAACCCCUAAGCCACCGUACGUGCCAAAACCACCUUACACCCCAACCCCUAAGCCACCGUACGUGCCAAAACCACCGUAUACCCCAAC
This 681-nucleotide long non-coding RNA is filed under the name Citrus maxima (pomelo). RNAcentral's name for it is "long non-coding RNA (CMAX_LNC002831)". The record is from RNAcentral. Lineage: Eukaryota; Viridiplantae; Streptophyta; Magnoliopsida; Sapindales; Rutaceae.